Rattus norvegicus (Norway rat) is the source of this 69-nucleotide non-coding RNA. Lineage: Eukaryota; Metazoa; Chordata; Mammalia; Rodentia; Muridae. The record is from Rfam.
GGGGAUUUAGCUCAGUGGUAGAGCGCUUGCCUAGCAAGCACAAGGCCCUGGGUUCGGUCCUCAGCUCCU